RNAcentral lists this ribosomal RNA (253 nucleotides) under uncultured bacterium. Its description in RNAcentral is "partial 16S ribosomal RNA". It matches the Rfam family "Bacterial small subunit ribosomal RNA", at positions 524 to 776 of the family's 1533-position model. The record is from RNAcentral.
UACAGAGGUCCCAAGCGUUGUUCGGAUUCAUUGGGCGUAAAGGGUGCGUAGGCGGCGCGGUAAGUCGGGUGUGAAAUCUUGGAGCUUAACUCCGAAACUGCAUUCGAUACUGCCGUGCUUGAGGACUGGAGAGGAGACUGGAAUUUACGGUGUAGCGGUGAAAUGCGUAGAUAUCGUAAGGAAGACCAGUGGCGAAGGCGGCAUCCUGGACCGACAUUGACGCUGAACGGCGAAAGCUAGGGGAGCAAACGGG